Molecule: ribosomal RNA, 460 nt
Filed under: uncultured bacterium
Lineage: Bacteria
Description: bacterial SSU rRNA
Rfam family: Bacterial small subunit ribosomal RNA
Source: RNAcentral
ACAUGCAAGUCGAACGGUAACGCGGGGCAACCUGGCGACGAGUGGCGAACGGGUGAGUAAUGCAUCGGAACGUGCCCAGUCGUGGGGAUAACGCAGCGAAAGCUGUGCUAAUACCGCAUACGAUCGUAGUGGAUGAAAGCGGGGGAUCGCAAGACCUCGCGCGAUUGGAGCGGCCGAUGUCAGAUUAGCUAGUUGGUGGGGUAAAGGCCCACCAAGGCGACGAUCUGUAGCUGGUCUGAGAGGACGACCAGCCACACUGGGACUGAGACACGGCCCCAGACUCCUACGGGAGGCAGCAGUGGGGAAUUUUGGACAAUGGGCGCAAGCCUGAUCCAGCAAUGCCGCGUGCAGGAAGAAGGCCUUCGGGUUGUAAACUGCUUUUGUACGGAGCGAAAAGGUCUUUCCUAAUACGGGAGGCUGAUGAACGGUACCGUAAGAAUAAGCACCGGCUAACUACAUG